GAUGGGAGGGGCUUCCUACACAUCUGUGGAGAUGGGGCUUCUUGGGGGUGUCACCAGAGCAUCUGCAAAGUGCCAGGGCAUGCUCCUCACUAUAUAGAUGAGAGGGUGAGGGGGAGGUCAGGCUGCCCCAGGCCUGUGGAGAGGGCCAGAGACAGCUCCUCCUUAGUUUUCCCAGCUGCUGGCUCUGCUGAGCCCUAAUGAGCUCCAGUCGGCUGGUCCCCAUCCGAGCAGCCUGCUGGUCCUCAGCGCUGGCUGCAAUAGCGGCUGCAGGCCAUGUGACCUUCGGCCCUCCCUCCCUCUCACCCUGUGAUCCGCACGUGGCCUCUGGGGAGGCAGAAACAAACCCUCAGAUCUGCCACUGGGAACCUUUCAGCGCCAGCGACUUCAAAGGGGGCAGCAGGGCGGCGGGGGCGGCGGAUGCUUUUCUUAAAGAGCUACACCACUUUUUAAUUCAAAGCAGAUUCUGGGAACAGCUGUCAAGCCACUGCCUGGGAGGGACGAGGAGGACUUUGUGCUCUGGAUGUACCAUACGGUGGAGUGGAGCAGAGUUAGACGAGGUUCCAGAGUGAGUCAUACAGGCUGCAGAGAAGACAACAAAUGAAGAAAAACAGGAGGGCUACCGCAGAACUGGAAGAUUACUUCCUAUGUGAGUGACAGUCGGAGUGAUGAAGAGGGAGUGACCCUUUUCUGGCUAUGUGUCAUUUUAUAUUUAUAACUUUUGAAUAAAAUAAUAUUUAACUCAAAUAAAUGAAUAUUU
This 757-nucleotide long non-coding RNA is filed under the name Bos indicus x Bos taurus (hybrid cattle). RNAcentral's name for it is "lncRNA (ENSBIXG00005015584.1)". Lineage: Eukaryota; Metazoa; Chordata; Mammalia; Artiodactyla; Bovidae. The record is from RNAcentral.